CAGACCUUAGCUCAGUUGGUAGAGUGGUGGACUGUAGUUGGACUAAUCAAAAUUGGGAAAUCCAUAAGUCGCUGGUUUGAUUCCGGCAGUUUGGA
Transfer RNA from Ipomoea nil (Japanese morning glory), 95 nucleotides. It matches the Rfam family "tRNA". Rfam says of the family: Transfer RNA (tRNA) molecules are approximately 80 nucleotides in length. Their secondary structure includes four short double-helical elements and three loops (D, anti-codon, and T loops). Further hydrogen bonds mediate the characteristic L-shaped molecular structure. tRNAs have two regions of fundamental functional importance: the anti-codon, which is responsible for specific mRNA codon recognition, and the 3' end, to which the tRNAs corresponding amino acid is attached (by aminoacyl-tRNA synthetases). tRNAs cope with the degeneracy of the genetic code in two manners: having more than one tRNA (with a specific anti-codon) for a particular amino acid; and 'wobble' base-pairing, i.e. permitting non-standard base-pairing at the 3rd anti-codon position. The record is from Rfam. Lineage: Eukaryota; Viridiplantae; Streptophyta; Magnoliopsida; Solanales; Convolvulaceae.